AUGGCUCAACCAUACAAUUUACUGUACACAGUGAGAUACAUCCCACUGAUUCUCACUGUCGCAACAGGCAGUUUUGCAGACAAAAUUUGGCCGACAGAUGAAGAUGCCAACAUUGUCAGGAAAGAAACAGACACUAUUACUCUGAAAUGUUCAUAUGAGUCAAGCAGUGAGAGCAUUUGGCUUUACUGGUACAAACAAUAUCCGAACAGCGCACCACAGUUUUUACUGUAUAAAGGUGCAGGGUCAAACUCAGAUGAUGAUAGCACUCCUGAUGAUAGUCGAUUAGAGUCAGAAACUCUAGAUAACCCUAGAUACUCAACAGAACUUACUAUCAGAGGUCUAAAGCUCUCAGAUUCUGCGCUCUAUCACUGUGCUCUCAGAGUAGGAGUAGCACAGUAA
Neoarius graeffei (lesser salmon catfish) is the source of this 399-nucleotide non-coding RNA. NCBI's taxonomy places the organism in Eukaryota, Metazoa, Chordata, Actinopteri, Siluriformes, Ariidae. The record is from the annotation of a RefSeq genome assembly.